This 389-nucleotide ribosomal RNA is filed under the name uncultured bacterium. RNAcentral describes it as "bacterial SSU rRNA". It matches the Rfam family "Bacterial small subunit ribosomal RNA", at positions 28 to 421 of the family's 1533-position model. The record is from RNAcentral.
GUUAAACGCUGGCGGCAUGCCUUACACAUGCAAGUCGAACGGUAGCGCGGGGCAACCUGGCGACGAGUGGCGAACGGGUGAGUAAAGCAUCGGAACGUGCCCUGGAAUGGGGGAUAACGUAGCGAAAGUUACGCUAAUACCGCAUAUUCUGUGAGCAGGAAAGCAGGGGAUCGCAAGACCUUGCGUUCUGGGAGCGGCCGAUGUCGGAUUAGCUAGUUGGUGGGGUAAAAGCCUACCAAGGCGACGAUCCGUAGCGGGUCUGAGAGGAUGAUCCGCCACACUGGGACUGAGACACGGCCCAGACUCCUACGGGAGGCAGCAGUGGGGAAUUUUGGACAAUGGGCGGAAGCCUGAUCCAGCCAUGCCGCGUGAGUGAAGAAGGCCUUCGG